ACGGUACCUGCAGAAGAAGCACCGGCUAACUACGUGCCAGCAGCCGCGGUAAUACGUAGGGUGCGAGCGUUAUCCGGAAUUAUGGGCGUAAAGAGCUCGUAGGCGGUUUGUCGCGUCUGUCGUGAAAGUCCGGGGCUUAACCCCGGAUCUGGCGGUGGGUACGGGCAGACUGAAAGUGCGAAGUAGGGGAGACUGGAAUUCCGUGGUGUAGCGGUGGAAUGCGCNGAAACNUCGAGGAGGAACACCGGAUGGGCGAAGGCUACGGG
RNAcentral lists this ribosomal RNA (266 nucleotides) under uncultured bacterium. RNAcentral describes it as "partial 16S ribosomal RNA". It matches the Rfam family "Bacterial small subunit ribosomal RNA", at positions 472 to 732 of the family's 1533-position model. The record is from RNAcentral.